CAGCCGCCGCGGUAAUACAGAGGGUGCGAGCGUUAAUCGGAUUUACUGGGCGUAAAGCGUACGUAGGCGGCUUUUUAAGUCGGAUGUGAAAUCCCUGAGCUUAACUUAGGAAUUGCAUUCGAUACUGGGAAGCUAGAGUAUGGGAGAGGAUGGUAGAAUUCCAGGUGUAGCGGUGAAAUGCGUAGAGAUCUGGAGGAAUACCGAUGGCGAAGGCAGCCAUCUGGCCUAAUACUGACGCUGAGGUACGAAAGCAUGGGGAGCAAACAGGAUUAGAUACCCGCGUAGUCCCUGUCUCUUAUAC
This 301-nucleotide ribosomal RNA is filed under the name uncultured bacterium. RNAcentral's name for it is "partial 16S ribosomal RNA". It matches the Rfam family "Bacterial small subunit ribosomal RNA", at positions 509 to 807 of the family's 1533-position model. The record is from RNAcentral.